This 460-nucleotide ribosomal RNA is filed under the name uncultured bacterium. RNAcentral's name for it is "partial 16S ribosomal RNA". It matches the Rfam family "Bacterial small subunit ribosomal RNA", at positions 338 to 795 of the family's 1533-position model. The record is from RNAcentral.
CCUACGGGUGGCAGCAGUGAGGAAUAUUGGUCAAUGGACGAGAGUCUGAACCAGCCAAGUAGCGUGAAGGAUGACUGCCCUAUGGGUUGUAAACUUCUUUUAUAUGGGAAUAAAAUGUUCCACGGGGGGGAUUUUGUAUGUACCAUAUGAAUAAGGAACGGCUAACUCCGUGCCAGCAGCCGCGGGAAUACGUAGGAUCCGAGCUUUAUACGGAUUUAUUGGGUUUAAAGGGAGAGUAGGUGGAUUGUUAAGUCAGUUGUGAAAGUUUGCGGCUCAACCGUAAAAUUGCAGUUGAAACUGGCAGUCUUGAGUACAGUAGAGGUGGGCGGAAUUCGUGGUGUAGCGGUGAAAUGCUUAGAUAUCACGAAGAACUCCGAUUGCGAAGGCAGUUCACUGGACUGCAACUGACACUGAGGCUCGAAAGUGUGGGUAUCAAACAGGAUUAGAUACCCGAGUAGUC